Molecule: long non-coding RNA, 587 nt
Organism: Hypanus sabinus (Atlantic stingray)
Lineage: Eukaryota; Metazoa; Chordata; Chondrichthyes; Myliobatiformes; Dasyatidae
Exons: 3
Source: RefSeq, a predicted model, not a curated record
GGAAGAACCAAUCGGCACGCUGGGGAGGGGCAACUCCAACGAAGCUUAACUGUGCGACAGAAACUUAGCCACCGACUUGGCCUCCACACCAUCUGUUCUUCAAUAAGAAUGAAUAAACAGUCAACGUUUUGGACCAAUACUCUUCAUCAGGACUGGAAAGGAAGAGGGAAGAAGCCAGAAUAAGAAGGUGGAAGGAGGGGAAGGAGUACAAACUGGCAGGUGAUUGAUGAUGCCAGAGAUACAGCAUAUUAACAGGACCUUGGUACCACAAGCCCGCACGGCCCAAUUAACCAACUACCUGGUACGUCUUUGGACUGAAAAAGGGAACUGCAGCAUCCAGAGGAAGCAUACGAGGUCGCAGGGAGAACGUACAGCCUCUUUACUGAAAGUGAUGGGAACCAAAUCUGGAUCACUGGCACCCCCAAAAAUGUGGAAUGUUCAUGAAUAUUUAUGAUCUUCUUUAUAUUGUUCCAGCAUUGCUGAAAUGAGCAGAAUGUGACAGUGUAGGACUUUAAAAAUAUAAAAAGCUGUAAUGAGAUGUCUCCACCUGUGGGCAAAGAGCCUCUUUAGAGAACUUAGAAAAUCAA